AGUGAACGCUGGCGGUAGGCCUAACACAUGCAAGUCGAACGGCAGCACAGGAGAGCUUGCUCUCUGGGUGGCGAGUGGCGGACGGGUGAGGAAUACAUCGGAAUCUACUCUGUCGUGGGGGAUAACGUGGGGAAACUUACGCUAAUACCGCAUACGACCUACGGGUGAAAGCAGGGGAUCUUCGGACCUUGCGCGAUUGAAUGAGCCGAUGUCGGAUUAGCUAGUUGGCGGGGUAAGGGCCCACCAAGGCGACGAUCCGUAGCUGGUCUGAGAGGUUGAGCAGCCACACUGGAACUGAGACACGGUCCAGACUCCUACGGGAGGCAGCAGUGGGGAAUAUUGGACAAUGGGCGCAAGCCUGAUCCAGCCAUACCGCGUGGGUGAAGAAGGCCUUCGGGUUGUAAAGCCCUUUUGUUGGGAAAGAAAUCCAGCUGGCUAAUACCCGGUUGGGAUGACGGUACCCAAAGAAUAAGCACCGGCUAACUUCGUGCCAGCCGCCGCAGUAA
This 506-nucleotide ribosomal RNA is filed under the name uncultured bacterium. RNAcentral describes it as "partial 16S ribosomal RNA". It matches the Rfam family "Bacterial small subunit ribosomal RNA", at positions 29 to 523 of the family's 1533-position model. The record is from RNAcentral.